UGCCAGCCGCCGCGGUAAUACGGAGAGGGCAAGCGUUGUUCGGAAUCACUGGGCAUAAAGCGCACGCAGGCGGAUUGGAAAGUCGGUUGUGAGAGCCCGGGGCUCAACUCCGGAACUGCUUCCGAAACUUCCAGUCUAGAGGAUGAGAGGGGAGAGUGGAACUUCUGGUGGAGCGGUGAAAUGCGUAGAGAUCAGAAGGAACACCGGUGGCGAAGGCGGCUAACUGGCUCGGUACUGACGCUGAGAUGCGAAAGCGUGGGGAGCAAACAGGAUUAGAUA
This 279-nucleotide ribosomal RNA is filed under the name uncultured bacterium. Its description in RNAcentral is "partial 16S ribosomal RNA". It matches the Rfam family "Bacterial small subunit ribosomal RNA", at positions 506 to 784 of the family's 1533-position model. The record is from RNAcentral.